Molecule: ribosomal RNA, 411 nt
Filed under: uncultured bacterium
Lineage: Bacteria
Description: bacterial SSU rRNA
Rfam family: Bacterial small subunit ribosomal RNA
Source: RNAcentral
AAUGGACGAAAGUCUGACCGAGCAACGCCGCGUGAGUGAAGAAGGUUUUCGGAUCGUAAAACUCUGUUGUUAGAGAAGAAUAAGGAUGAGAGUAAAAAGUUCAUCCCUUGACGGUAUCUAACCAGAAAGCCACGGCUAACUACGUGCCAGCAGCCGCGGUAAUACGUAGGUGGCAAGCGUUGUCCGGAUUUAUUGGGCGUAAAGCGAGCGCAGGCGGUUUCUUAAGUCUGAUGUGAAAGCCCCCGGCUUAACCGGGGAGGGUCAUUGGAAACUGAGGAACUUGAGUGCAGAAGAGGAGAGUGGAAUUCCAUGUGUAGCGGUGAAAUGCGUAGAUAUAUGGAGGAACACCAGUGGCGAAGGCGACUCUCUGGUCUGUAACUGACGCUGAGGCUCGAAAGCGUGGGGAGCAAA